RNAcentral lists this ribosomal RNA (576 nucleotides) under uncultured bacterium. Its description in RNAcentral is "bacterial SSU rRNA". It matches the Rfam family "Bacterial small subunit ribosomal RNA", at positions 229 to 815 of the family's 1533-position model. The record is from RNAcentral.
GCCGAUGGCAGAUUAGGUAGUUGGUGGGAUAAAAGCUUACCAAGCCGACGAUCUAGCUGGUCUGAGAGGACGACCAGCCACACUGGGACUGAGACACGGCCCAGACUCCUACGAGGCAGCAGUGGGGAAUUUUGGACAAUGGGCGCAAGCCUGAUCCAGCCAUGCCGCGUAGGAUGAAGGCCUUCGGGUUGUAAAGCGCUUUUGUCCGGAACGAAAACACUCUUUCUAAAAGAGGGUCCAUGACGGUACCGUAAGAAUAAGCACCGGCUAACUACGUGCCAGCAGCCGGUAAUACGUAGGGUGCAAGCGUUAAUCGGAAUUACUGGGCGUAAAGCGUGCGCAGGGUGAUGUAAGACAGAUGUGAAAUCCCCGGGCUCAACCUGGGAACUGCAUUUGUGACUGUCGCUGGAGUACGGCAGAGGGGGAUGGAAUUCCGCGUGUAGCAGUGAAAUGCGUAGAUGCGGAGGAACACCGAUGGCGAAGGCAACCCCCUGGGCCAAUACUGACGCUCAUGCACGAGCGUGGGGAGCAAAUAGGAUUAGAUACCCUGGUAGUCCACGCCCUAAACGAUGUCAA